Small nuclear RNA from Peromyscus californicus insignis, 112 nucleotides. The record is from RefSeq and is a predicted model, not a curated record. NCBI's taxonomy places the organism in Eukaryota, Metazoa, Chordata, Mammalia, Rodentia, Cricetidae.
GUGCUCACUUCGGCAGCACAUAUGCUAAAAUUGGAACAAUGCAGAGAAGAUUAGCAUUGCCCCCUUCCAAAGGAUGACAUGCAAAUUUGUGAAGAAUGUUGAAAAUGUUUUU